GAUGAACGCUGACAGAAUGCUUAACACAUGCAAGUCUACUUGAAGUAACUUCGGUUAUGGAUGGUGGCGGACGGGUGAGUAACGCGUAAAUAACUUGCCCCCUAGUCUGGGACAACUGUUGGAAACGACAGCUAAUACUAGAUAUUAUGAGAUCUUGGCAUCAAGGACUUAUGAAAGCUAUAUGCGCUAGGGGAGAGAUUUGCGUCCUAUUAGCUAGUUGGUGAGGUAAUGGCUCACCAAGGCGACGAUAGGUAGCCGGCCUGAGAGGGUGAACGGCCACAAGGGGACUGAGACACGGCCCUUACUCCUACGGGAGGCAGCAGUGGGGAAUAUUGGACAAUGGGCGAAAGCCUGAUCCAGCAAUGCCGCGUGAGUGAUGAAGGCCUUAGGGUUGUAAAGCUCUUUCAGCAGGGAAGAAGCGAAAGUGACGGUACCUGCAGAAGAAGCACCGGCUAACUACGUG
RNAcentral lists this ribosomal RNA (463 nucleotides) under uncultured bacterium. RNAcentral describes it as "bacterial SSU rRNA". It matches the Rfam family "Bacterial small subunit ribosomal RNA", at positions 28 to 507 of the family's 1533-position model. The record is from RNAcentral.